UACGGAGGGUCCAAGCGUUAUCCGGAAUCAUUGGGUUUAAAGGGUCCGUAGGCGGUUUUGUAAUUCAGUGGUGAAAGCCCAUCGCUCAACGGUGGAACGGCCAUUGAUACUGCAAGACUUGAAUUAUUAGGAAGUAACUAGAAUAUGUAGUGUAGCGGUGAAAUGCGUAGAUAUCUGGAGGAACACCGGUGGCGAAGGCGGCAUCCUGGACCGACACUAACGCUGAGGCGCGAAAGCUAGGGUAGCAAACGGG
This 253-nucleotide ribosomal RNA is filed under the name uncultured bacterium. RNAcentral's name for it is "partial 16S ribosomal RNA". It matches the Rfam family "Bacterial small subunit ribosomal RNA", at positions 524 to 776 of the family's 1533-position model. The record is from RNAcentral.